This 31-nucleotide non-coding RNA is filed under the name Homo sapiens (human). The record is from RNAcentral. Lineage: Eukaryota; Metazoa; Chordata; Mammalia; Primates; Hominidae.
UCCCUGGGCUACAUGACAGAGGGUGCACUGC